Cervus elaphus (red deer) is the source of this 3255-nucleotide long non-coding RNA. RefSeq lists it as uncharacterized. NCBI's taxonomy places the organism in Eukaryota, Metazoa, Chordata, Mammalia, Artiodactyla, Cervidae. The transcript is spliced from 3 exons. The record is from RefSeq and is a predicted model, not a curated record.
GACGCCCCUGCUCCGUGAAGGGGGCCAGACAUAAAAGGUGUAUACUACAUGAGUGCAUUUGUCUGAAAGACCCAGAAAAGGCAGCUCUGCAGGGGCAGAAAGCUGCUGGGGCUGGUGGGGCGGGGAGCGGGGGUGACCCACACAGGAACAGAGGGGCCCCAGGGGCAGCCGGGGCUCCACGAGUUGCUAAACUGACUGACGAGUGCUCAGCUGGCCACUGAGCAUGAGGGAGCUCCAGGGCCUGCAGGUUCCACCUGAGUAACGUGGUCAAAGCCGAAACAGAGGUCGGGCUGCAAGUGCAAGUCCAGGACGGGGCAGGGCUCCAGCACCUCCACCCACCCUCUCCAGCGGGAAACGUCAUCCAGCUGGAAUCCCGGUCAGAGGACAGGCUAAAAAUAACCUGCUUUACACUUGUGGCACAAAAUACCUAGCGUCACAAAACGGAAAGAACAAAACAAGGUCCAGAGCUCUUGGGGAAUCAACCUCAGGUGAGACCAGGUCCUCGACGUGACCACCAGGGGGCACCAUCCACCGCCCGCCCGCCCCACAGACACUGCAGGAGCGCUGAGGGCCUGUGCAGGGCUUCCUCAGAAACGCCAGGAUUCUUGGGCUGUGACACGGAGUCACAGACUCUGUACAAGGGUGUGAAGACAGACGGAUACUCAGCCAUGGGGCCUGGGUUUUCUAAAUGAUCACUGUUUCUUAGUUUGGGGAUCAGUGUCUGGUUAAGACAACGACACUGUGGUUUCAGCUCCAGACACCGUCAGGAAUGUGUGCUUAAUCUCUGGAGCCCCGGAGGGUCUCAGAAAGCAGCGAGUGCUGGGUCCAGUCCCUCAGGUAGGAGCUCACACCACGUUCAUGGAACAGGGAAAAGGCCUCACAGAUAAAGAGGCGUUUCCUCACCUGAGAGCCCUGGGCCCAGGAACGAGGCGGGAGCACGAGGACCAGAGCCACACGGGGGUUCCCGGCCGGCCAGACCCUGCCGUCUCUGCAAACAGGCAGGGGCGGCCGCGGCCACGUGACAGGAGACCCUCCACGCUGCAGCACGGACCCUAAACACAGCGCCCUCCCCCAAACACCAGACACCCCGAGCUGCACCCAGGAGCCGAGACAAGAGUCCGCAGACGCGGCAAGAUUACCAUGGACCCGGACUCUCAGAACCUAACACCCUAUCAGAGCUACUGGAAGCAGACAACACAGUCUUAAAGAUCCUCUGGGUUCUCUAGGUCUGUGAUGAAACAAGCCCGAAUUCAAAUCUGACACUGAGGAAAACGUGAAAGGAACUCAUCUGAGGGGCCUGAGGCUGCCCCACCCACAGGCGGUGGCCGGCAGGUGGCUGCAGACACCCACCCGCUGCUGGUGUCAGAGAGAGAGGCGCCCCAAGGGCUCAAGCCCAGGCUGCCGGCUGGGCCUGCUCCUCCGCGUCCAUCUCCCCAUCAGGCCCGCCCCCUGAGGACCCAGGGCCGCGCACACAGGUGUGAAACAAGAAACAGCAGAGAAGGUCCUUGUUCCCGGCAGGCAACACCACGUGUGGCUCAGGAGCACACACUUCACGGUUCACACUCAUCGGCAAGGCUCCUCCUAGGCUAGAGGGAGCGCUGCAAACAAGGGCCCGUGAAGAACGGUGAUCCUGAGGUCUCUCUUGGAACUCACUGGGAAUUCGAGGACUAGCUCAGUCCAGGACAGUUUCAGAGCUACAUUUAUAGUGCCUCAUAGGCCUCUCAAAUGACACCUCUGCAUGUUUUCUCUAUUUUAACACCAAUGCCUAAGACCCUAUAUUUAUCCGGAUUAAAUGUCAACUCCUUGGAUCUCAGGCUGUCAGGAUCUGCCUGGAUUCUAAUUCUGCCCGAGAACUUCGCCACUCAGCUCUGGGGCGCUCUUCCUCAGCCAGCCCAGGUUGCCGGUAUCUCCCCGGCCUGGAGGGUCCGGCGGGCCUCCGGCAGGAGAGGUGGCUCAAGAAAAUGCAGGACAGGCUGAGAGCAGCAGGGGACACGCUUCCAGACGGGGUGACGGGGGGUCAGCAACUCCCGUCCCAGGAGGGCGAUUCUUCCAGGCACACGAGCUACUUUAUAUAAAGCUCCUUCCAGACACUUCUGCCCCGGCGACAGGACGCCAAGGAGCCUGGGGAACUUGGCUAGGAUUACGUAGGACAUGAUACCUGCAUCGACCCAAUUAACUCAGAGGAGAAGGACGCUGCUGCAGUUCUGAGCAUGGACGUGUGCGCUGUGGGGAUGCCUGGUUUCUCCAAAGAGGCCCGACUCAAAUCCAUUUGCUGCUCGGUCACACCCGCUACACACACACUUUGUCAAUGGUAAGUGACCGGCCUGGGAUCCACCUCCAGCAUAAGGACCAUCUGUCUGCCACCAGGCGAAAUUCAACAGGUCACAGGAGACCUCACAAAAAGCUUCAGACACAUGUGGAGUGGCAAUCCUAGGACCCGGUGAGCCCGCCGCUGUGUGCCUUAGAGUCUGCAAAGUAAGCCGGCAAGAUUAGGACAAACCUCUAGCAGAAAGGUUCACGGCUUUGUCUGGAAACCAACACCACUGAGCACAGAUUCUGAUCCCCACCAGAGGUGGCCCCUCGUGGUGCUGAUGAGUCCCAACGAUCUGAGCCGCGCUGACCAGGCCCAGAGAGGUGAGAACUCGCCACCGCCUGACGCCAAAGUGGAGGGGACACCUCAUUACCGCGCAGGAGACGUGGCUCGCAUGGCCUCUGCUCGCUGCGCCCGAGAAAGCAGCGGUUCCCGCAAGUGGAUUUCUGUUUCCCCACUGGCCUCUAUAACAAAGUAUUGCUUUUCCUCUGAGGAACUUUAAAAACAAAAAAAUCAAUAUUCUAACAAUCAGAUCAUUUGUAAAGCGUCUGGAAUUAUUUUUUAUACGUGGCAAAAAAACCAAGAUCUAGAGGAAAAACAAUUUAAACAAACAGAACUGGCAUUUCAUCUCUUCGGCGUCCGAAUACUGGGCAUCUGGAGGACGCAUGUCCCCUCUCUAGCAGGGUUCCGGUCCGCGGAGGGUCAGGCGGACACAGAAGGAGUGGGAAGGUGGUGGGCGGCGCGCGCUGAGCGGACUCCGCACCCGGCCGGCACACGGUCCUCCCGGCCACCGGGAGAGCACCUUCCCUCCUUCCCCGAUCUCAGGGCCUGCUCCGCCCCAGGCCGCGGGAUCCCGGGCUCGCGGUGACCGUGGCACGGGAAGGGGCGUCCUCAGGGAAGCCCCCAGGCCACGGGCGUGGAGGGGACUUUCAUCCCAAGGUCGU